Molecule: transfer RNA, 65 nt
Filed under: Lymexylon navale
Lineage: Eukaryota; Metazoa; Arthropoda; Insecta; Coleoptera; Lymexylidae
Description: tRNA-Leu
Source: RNAcentral
UCUAAUAUGGCAGAAUAGUGCAAUGGAUUUAAGUCCCAGAUAUAAAGGCUCCUCUUUUUUUAGAA